Molecule: long non-coding RNA, 2090 nt
Organism: Fundulus heteroclitus (mummichog)
Lineage: Eukaryota; Metazoa; Chordata; Actinopteri; Cyprinodontiformes; Fundulidae
Exons: 6
Source: RefSeq, a predicted model, not a curated record
ACGAUGACGAGCAGAAGGAUGCCCAUGAGUUCCUCGUUUGUGUUCUGGACAUAAUGAGGUCUGUGUCAUCAGAGGUUGAGCUGACAGCUGUAAACUCUGGCCUGACCUACACGUGCCCAGUCCGUGAACAUAUUACACUUCAGAUGUUAAACGUCAGAACCUGCAGGGGUUGUGGUGAGCAGUCCUAUAGAGUGGAGGACUUUGUUAACCUCACUCUGGAGCUGGUACCAGGGGGAUCGGUGGGCCAGUGUCUGCAGGAGUAUUUCAAGGGGGACCAGAUAGAUUACACGUGCCACUGUGGAGCGCAGCAGUCAUCCCUGCAGAGCUCAUUCUCCACCCUGCCAAAAAUACGACAGGUCGUUAUUCUCUGGUGAGCAAAUGUUUGCCCUUUGCUCUCAGGUCAUCACAUCUGUGAGAGUAUCCAAAGAGGGCUGGAUAUGGGGGAUUCAGCAAACUCUUGGCUAACAGAUGAUGAUGAACAUGUCAGCCAAACAACAGGAGAAGUUGUCUGCUGCCGUAGACUAAGAAACGCUUUCCUAGUCUUCUAUGAAAACCAGGGUGCUCCUCUCGACUUACGCGGCAGAGAAGGUCGAACAACGGCUUCCUUGGACCCACGCGUCACACUGCAGGAAGGUGCCGCCACCGCCAGUGGCCGACAAAUCGCAGGACAAGAAAGAUCACACGCCAGGAUCGUCGCCAUCCACCUGAGCCACAAAGCUGGCUGUGAGGACAGCGGCCCACCACAAGUUGUUUUUUUGCAGGAAGAGGUGGGUGAAGAGCACUGCUCCGACGGAAUCACAAUAACAUUCCGGGCAGUGAUUUGAGUUGCUUGUCUCCAGAGAGAGAGACAACAGAGUUUGAAACAGCUGAUCUGUGGAGCACAACAAGAAUCAGCCUGUUUGCUCAUUGCUUAUGCUCCCUUCAUGUCAGAAAACUGACUGAUUAAAAAAAGAAAAAGGGGAGAGAAGAGGAGGCAAGAGGAAGACGAAGCAUUUAUUCAUUUAAUCCCUUAAUCCCUUUGGUUAGACGACGGUUAACCUCCGCAGUAUCUGGUAGCUUCUUUACGGGUCAAACGGAUACAGAGACUGGUGUUUUCCCCGGGAAACAUGCCCACAGAUGUUGAAAUUCCUGAUCUGAGAGACGAUGAUGAUUGUAAUGUUAAUGAUACAACCUGUUAACAUGGAUUUCCUUUUUCCUUCUUGGUGACUGUUCCUUGUAAUGCUUUUGAAAAUGUUCCUGUAGGUUUGAUGAUAUUGAUUUGUUUGAUGAUAUUGAUUUGUUUGAUUUUCCAUUUUACAGUAGUAUUGUCAGAUUGUUUUUUUUCCCCCCGUUACGUUUUCUUUUUUAUUAUCAAUUUAGAUUUAGUUGUAUUAGUUUAGUUUUGCUUAAGCAAUGUUUUAAUUGAUAUUUGGAGUUUCAAAUGUUUUUCCUGACAUGAUUCUUUUUUGUUCUCACUGCUUGAUGAAAGAAAUGGAGUUUUCUUAUACCAAAGAUCACUGAUUUAUGCAAUUUUUGUUUAUUACAGAAGGACAGACCUGGGAUCUGAUUGGCUCUAUAGAUCCUUUAAUAUUAGCUGGUAAUGGUAACUCCUAGAUUCAACACGGGGUUUUCUGGCUCAGAUUGGCCGAGAGCAGAUCUCCCUGGGGGUCUCACCAGUUUUUACUACUCUUGUGGGUAGCUUUUUCUGGUUGUUUUCCCACCCACACUGAACCUCUCCUGCUUUUGCUCCUGGUUUGGUAAAUCUGAGGAUGGUGGAUGGUUAUCCAUCGAAGUGGUGAGUGGAGGAUCGAGUAGGAGGGUUUUCAGGGUGGGGAGAGGGUAGACGGAUUCGACCUUAAUUAGCAUACAGGCUUAGCUUAAGUAGUCUAAUAUACUAAAAUAAUCUGUGCAUAGGGACCUAAAACAGGCCUUACUUAAUUAGUUGAACCCUAAAUUGUAGGCGAAUGCUAAACCUUUGAUCUUGUGUGUUAAAACUCCAUGAAGCAUUCAAGCUGAUCUUUUUUAAAAGUUCCAGCACACAUGAUUUGUAACUGUUAUGAGUCCUUGGUGUUGUAUUUGCAUAUUCCUGUAAUGAGUUAUCUUGUUUUUCA